Molecule: ribosomal RNA, 1545 nt
Filed under: Triticum aestivum (bread wheat)
Lineage: Eukaryota; Viridiplantae; Streptophyta; Magnoliopsida; Poales; Poaceae
Description: partial small subunit ribosomal RNA
Source: RNAcentral
AUGCCCUGCCCCAGCACAGUCUCUUGGACCGCACUCAUCACCGCGUAUAUGGACGCGGGGCGUGCCAGGGAAGCUGUUGCCGUUGCGAGGGAUGCAUUCGCUAGUGGAAUGCGUCCAGACAGCUUCAUGGCUGCGCGGGUCCUGACCGCGUGCGCCCGGGUCGCGGAUUUGGGCACCGGGGAGGCAGUGUGGAGGACUGCAGAGCGGGAGGGGAUAGCGAGCAGUGUGUUUGUGGCAACUGCAGCGGUGGAUUUGUAUGUCAAGUGCGGUGAGAUGGCCAAGGCAAGGGAGGUGUUUGACAGGAUGCCGGAGAAGAAUGUAGUGGCUUGGGGUGCUAUGGUUAGCGGAUAUGCUUCCAACGGGCAUACGCAAGAGGCUCUGCAGCUCUUCUUUGCAAUGCAGGCUCAGGGAGUGAGACCAAAUUGCAGGACAGGAGCUGGUGCACUCUCAGCGUGCACGCAGUUGGGUGCAUUUGAUCUGGCACAGCAGGUUGUUGCUGUGGUGGACUGGGAUCAGCUUCUUGACAACCCAGUUCUAGGGACUGCGUUGAUUGAAAUGUACUCCAAGUUUGGGAGCACGGCCGAGGCAUGGUUCGUGUUCCAGCAGAUGAGAAAGAGGGGCAUUACUGUUUGGAACGCCAUGGUUUUGGGGCUCAGCAUGACUGGACAUGAUAGGUCUGUGUUUGCCCUUGUAGGCCAGAUGGAGAAGUCAGGCAUGAAAUUGAAUGGCAUGACUUUCAUGAGCCUUCUCUACAGCUGUACUCAUGCCGGCCUUGUACAAGAUGGACGGCGCUACUUCCAUAACAUGACUCAGUUAUACCGCAUUGCUCCUAGGAUUGAGCACUACGGUUGUAUGGUCGACCUUCUCAGUCGCGCUGGGAUGCUCAAGGACGCUCAUCGGCUUAUUAGUGAAAUGCCAAUGCAGGCAAAUGCUGCCGUCUGGAGUGCACUUCUUGGUGGCUGCAAGAUUCACCGAGACGCUGAGCUUGCUGAACAUGCCUUGAAACAGCUCAUCCUGCUAGAGCCCUGGAACUCUGGGAACUAUGCCAUGCUCUCCGACAUAUACUCUAACAGCAGCAGAUGGAAGGAUGAUGCAAAGCUUAGAUUGCACAUGAAGGUGAUAGGGGUCAAGGAGGUCACCGGAUAUAGCUGGGUUGACUUUGAUGGUAAGGUCCACAAGUUCCAUGUUGGAGAUAACUGGCAUCCCCUCAUGGAUCAAAUAUACAAAAAGCUAGAUGAAUUAGGCAUGGAAAUGGAAACCAUAGGUUACAAACCAACUACUGAUGUUGUCAUGUUUAACGUUGAAGAUGAGGAGAAGGAGCACACUCCAGUUCAUCAUAGCGAGAAACUUGCCAUUGCAUUUUGCCUUCUCACCACCAGACCAGGCGAGGCCAUUAGGGUCAUCAAGAACACCAGGGUUUGCACCGACUGUCACACUGAUAUUAAACUUAUAUCAAGGAUAACUCAUCGGGAGAUCAUUGUUCGGGAUAACAGCAGAUUUCAUUGUUUCAGAGAUGGUUGUUGCUCUUGUAAUGAUUACUGGUAG